Molecule: ribosomal RNA, 523 nt
Filed under: uncultured eukaryote
Lineage: Eukaryota
Description: eukaryotic LSU rRNA
Rfam family: Eukaryotic large subunit ribosomal RNA
Source: RNAcentral
AUCAAAUGAGAAUACCGGCUGAACUUAAGCAUAUCACUAAGCCGAGGAAAAGAAACUAACAAGGAUACCCUAAGUAACGGCGAGUGAACCGGGUAAUGCUCAAUCUUAAAAUCUGUGUCUCAAAUGAGGCAUCGAAUUGUAGUUUUUUGAUAAUCAUUCCCUCUUCUUUUAAUAUAAUUAAAGUCUCUUGGAAUAGAGUGUCAUAGAAGGUGAGAACCCUGUGAAUAGUUAUAUUAAGGGGAGGAUAUUGAGUUUGAUUAUCAUAGAGUCGGGUUGUUUGGGAAUGCAGCCUAAAAAGGGUGGUAAAUCUCAUCUAAAGCUAAAUAUUUGGUAAGAGACCGAUAGAAAACAAGUACCGUGAGGGAAAGAUGAAAAGAACUUUGAAAAGAGAGUUAAAAGUACUUGAAAUUGUUAACUGGGAACCGCUUAAAUUCUAAUCUCUUAAUUACUAUUUAAAUCUAUCUUCUUUAAAGGUGUAUCUACAUUAAAUAGAUGUAACUCAGUUACUCUAUGAGUGGGUGAA